RNAcentral lists this ribosomal RNA (360 nucleotides) under uncultured bacterium. Its description in RNAcentral is "bacterial SSU rRNA". It matches the Rfam family "Bacterial small subunit ribosomal RNA", at positions 917 to 1264 of the family's 1533-position model. The record is from RNAcentral.
GGACCCGCACAAGCGGUGGAACAUGUGGUUUAAUUCGAUGAUACGCGAAGAACCUUACCUGGGUUUGACAUGUUAGUGAAAGUUUCUGAAAAGAAUUCCCUUUAAAGAGCUUGCUCUUAAACACUAUCACAGGUGGUGCAUGGCUGUCGUCAGCUCGUGUCGUGAGAUGUUAGGUUAAGUCCUGCAACGAGCGCAACCCCUAUAUUUAGUUGCCAGCACAUAAUGGUGGGGACUCUAGAUAGACUGCCCGGAAUAACCGGGAGGAAGGUGGGGAUGAUGUCAAGUCAGUAUGUCCCUUAUACCCAGGGCUACACACGUGUUACAAUGGAUAGUACAAAAAAGUCGCAGUCCCGCGAGGAG